This is a long non-coding RNA of Sapajus apella (tufted capuchin), 103 nucleotides long. RefSeq lists it as uncharacterized. The transcript is spliced from 3 exons. The record is from RefSeq and is a predicted model, not a curated record. Lineage: Eukaryota; Metazoa; Chordata; Mammalia; Primates; Cebidae.
UUCUGAAGGUUCAAUAUACAUAAACUUUGUUUUACGCAAAAAUUUAAAAUAUUGCGUAAAAUUACCUUUAGGCUGUAUGUAUUAAGUAUACAUGAAACAUAAA